RNAcentral lists this long non-coding RNA (2688 nucleotides) under Fukomys damarensis (Damara mole-rat). Its description in RNAcentral is "lncRNA (ENSFDAG00000024437.1)". The record is from RNAcentral. Lineage: Eukaryota; Metazoa; Chordata; Mammalia; Rodentia; Bathyergidae.
AUGGAGACCUCCUGCUUGCUUUUCCUGUCGUCCGAAGUCCUGGCAAUUCCCCCGGUCCCGUAUUGCAGUGAAUCUCCGUUCGCAAUGGCCACAUUCGGUGCCGGGGCUGGGGGUUGCUGUGACAGACAAGUGCAAGUCAGGGGGUCCACGCUGUACCCCCAAAGACUUUGUGGAAUAUCAACGCUGAGCGGACACUGGUUUAAAGAUUCAUGUGUCCACGCACAAUUGUUGGGAUGCGAACUCCUUGAGUGCCCAGGAAUCCUUUGUUCUUGCUCUGUUUUGUUUUUGGUGACUCACUUUGGUCUGUGGGGAUCCUGCAGUCACCCUCACACUGCCGGACCCUCCAUGUGUUCCUGAGAUCGGUGUUCCUGUGCAGCUGGGACUGCUAAGGGAGUCUCUGUGGAACAGGUGGCUUGGAGCGAGCACUCUGACACGGCCUGUCUGGGAGAGGCAGAGCCCGCGGGAUUCCUGUCUGAGAGCUGUUCAAGACAUGGAAAACGUCCCAGGGUCUGUCUACUUUUGGGCUGUCUGCUGUGCAGUCCUGAACUGUAACCCUGGGAUUCUGAAAAGAAUGUCAACUCCGUGCUUGGAUUUUCUGGGAGUGUCUACAUUGUACAUAGUUCAACCAGUUUUUCUUUUGAACAAGCCCCAACUUCUUAGACAAUGUGUCUUGAUUUGAGGUUCAGAAAAUAUGGCCCCUCUGAAGCAGGUUCUGCCUGUUGCAGGGCUGGUUUUCCAAAUCAGUGACUGAGGCUGAAUGAGGCACACUUUCGGAGCUGGUGCAAGGACUACUUGGAUGUGGAAAUGGAAAUGGAAAGGGUAGAGGACACGGGAUAGAUUGUAAAUGUUCCAGGGAGAAGAACUGGCACAGGUAUUCUGAAGUCUGUGCUCAUCUCCCCGAUCCUAAAUUGCUCCAAGUUAAUUAAGAGAGAAAUUAAACUGAAAAAUGUAAAAGAAUCCUCAAAAUGCACCUAAGUGUCCUUCUUUGUCCUUUUUCAUCUCUCUACCCCACUCCAAAGCCCUUACUCAAACUAAGGAAAAAUUGGUUUUUGACACUGCCAAUGUCGUACCUUUAAGUGGUAUGAGAAAUACUCAUAGGCUAAGCAUGUUGCAUGGAACCUGGAACAGAAUGGACCCUAAAUAAGUGGAAGUCAUUCUUAGAAAGGUUAUUUUGCUGAUAAACCACCAGGCAAUGCGGGGAAAACACGAGGAGCUGUGUGAAGGCACCAGCUAUCUCUUGCCUGUUUUAACUCAUUUCCAGUGAAAGGCAGUACAUUCCCGUUGUACCUUCUUUGUAGCUCUCUGAAUGAAAUCUUAUUUUUUUCCUUAUUAACAUACCUUGAUUAGCACAGGUGUUUGUGUAUAGCCAUUAAACCAGAAUGCCUCACUGAAAUAAAAAAUUUGCUUGGUAUUCAUAACAGUCUUGUUAUUUUCCUGUUAGAGUUGAAAGAGAAUAUUGGUAUAAAGGUAGUAUUAUGACCCUCUGUGCUCUUGAACAGACACUCAAUAGUCUUCUUAAAAAUGGUCCUGGGUCCUCCUUGGUCUUGGAUCAAAGACGUGAGAUUUUUCCCAAAUUUAGUGGUGGAAUAGAUUUUUAUUCUCUACCCAUUUUUCAUUUUAUGAAGUAAAGUGUUAUACUGCAUAUUUUUUUUCAAUUUCUUGGACAUAAGAAAUCUAGAUUUUCUCCAAAAUUAGCACUUGAUAAUCUUUACCACCCACGGUUCUAUGUCCAUCACUGGAUGGUUCUGCAAAGCAGUUUAAGAGCUAUUUAUCUACUGGCGUGGAUGUGCCGUUACCUUUACAUAUUUACCUAAGCCAUCGUUUGCUUGCUUUCCCUCAGUUAUCGUAUUAGAAGUAAACUGCAGGAGCCCUGCCUGCAACAGUGCCGAGACAAUCUGCGGUGGAGAACAGUAAUGACGACUCUGUUAAGGUUCCACUUCUGCAGUUGGAGAUGUUGCUUGCUUAACGUUUCCACUGGUGCCCAUCUAAUAGCAGUGGGCCUCUUAUUUAAAGAGGAAGAGAGAAAAAGAAAGGCUCAGAGACAGCACAAAUGAGAGAGAGAAUGAGCUGGAAAUCGUUGGUGAUAAAGGAAUUGUUUGCCCAGCUUUCCAGAACUGAGAGAGAGCUUCACUUGGGACCGUAGUGCUGCCUAGCUGCUGGGGUCACAGUUCCACUUACUUCUGUUACAGUUAUGCUGUGGGGUUAGAGGGUGACCUUCCAGAACCCUUCUGGAUCCUCCCUCUGGGCACUGCUCUUCUUUUUCAGUACCAGUAAUGGUUCAAAAGGGCCCUCAGAUUCUAAUUUGGAGAAUGAGAGUCUGUGACAGUGACAGUUUCAGUGAGUUCUGCCCAGCUGUGUCACUGUUAACUUUUAAUGAACAUCUUUUCUUCCUCUGAAGAGUUUCAGCAAGUGAAAGUUUCGUGCGAGUUCUGCUUUUAUCUCCAUUUUAUGUGGGGUAAUAUGUGGUAAUUCUGGGGGCCUAACUUGGGGCACUCCCGAGCUAAUAACAUGAUUUUGCUUACGGUUACAUACCAGUAUAAGAUUUUUGUUUGAAAGCCUAGGUUGGAAUAUAUCUUGUAACUACAGUACACCAAAAAGCAAAGAGACUCACUCCCGCCCAGCCUGAACUCGGCCCCACUGUCCAUUUCAGGGCCCUCGGAUCCACAGAGAGCUCUGAGGGAGGCCCGC